AGAGUUUGAUCAUGGCUCAGAACGAACGCUGGCGGCAGGCUUAACACAUGCAAGUCGAACGCCCUCUUCGGAGGGAGUGGCAGACGGGUGAGUAACGCGUGGGAACGUACCUUUCGGUUCGGAAUAACUCGGGGAAACUCGUGCUAAUACCGGAUACGUCCGCAAGGAGAAAGAUUUAUCGCCGAAAGAUCGGCCCGCGUCCGAUUAGCUAGUUGGUGGGGUAAUGGCCUACCAAGGCGACGAUCGGUAGCUGGUCUGAGAGGAUGAUCAGCCACACUGGGACUGAGACACGGCCCAGACUCCUACGGGAGGCAGCAGUGGGGAAUAUUGGACAAUGGGCGAAAGCCUGAUCCAGCCAUGCCGCGUGAGUGAAGAAGGCCUUAGGGUUGUAAAGCUCUUUCGCCGAUGAAGAUAAUGACGGUAGUCGGAGAAGAAGCCCCGGCUAACUUCGUGCCAGCAGCCGCGGUAAUACGAAGGGGGCUAGCGUUGUUCGGAUUUACUGGGCGUAAAGCGCGCGUAGGCGGGUUGUUAAGUCAGGGGUGAAAUGCCGAGGCUCAACCUCGGAACUGCCUCUGAUACUGGCAACCUGGAGUUCGGGAGAGGUGAGUGGAAUUCCGAGUGUAGAGGUGAAAUUCGUAGAUAUUCGGAGGAACACCAGAAGCGAAGGCGGCUCACUGGCCCGAUACUGACGCUGAGGCGCGAAAGCGUGGGGAGCAAACAGGAUUAGAUACCCUAGUAGUCC
Molecule: ribosomal RNA, 742 nt
Filed under: uncultured bacterium
Lineage: Bacteria
Description: bacterial SSU rRNA
Rfam family: Bacterial small subunit ribosomal RNA
Source: RNAcentral